CAAGGCCUUGCGCGAUAGGAUGAGCCGACGCCCGAUUAGCUAGUUGGUAGGGUAAAGGCCUACCAAGGCGACGAUCGGUAGCUGGUCUGAGAGGAUGAUCAGCCACACUGGGACUGAGACACGGCCCAGACUCCUACGGGAGGCAGCAGUGGGGAAUAUUGGACAAUGGGCGCAAGCCUGAUCCAGCAAUGCCGCGUGUGUGAAGAAGGCCUGCGGGUUGUAAAGCACUUUUGUUCGGGAAGAAAACGGAUCGGUUAAUACCCGGUUCGGAUGACGGUACCGAAAGAAUAAGCACCGGCUAACUUCGUGCCAGCAGCCGCGGUAAUACGAAGGGUGCAAGCGUUAAUCGGAAUUACUGGGCGUAAAGCGUGCGUAGGCGGCUUUUUAAGUCGGAUGUGAAAUCCCGGGCUCAACCUGGGAAUGGCAUCCGAUACUGGGGAGCUAGAGUUUGGGAGAGGGGUGGUGGAAUUCCCGGUGUAGCGGUGAAAUGCGUAGAGAUCGGGAGGAACAUCAGUGGCGAAGGCGGCCA
RNAcentral lists this ribosomal RNA (529 nucleotides) under uncultured bacterium. RNAcentral describes it as "bacterial SSU rRNA". It matches the Rfam family "Bacterial small subunit ribosomal RNA", at positions 202 to 727 of the family's 1533-position model. The record is from RNAcentral.